This 96-nucleotide non-coding RNA is filed under the name Streptomyces zinciresistens. Lineage: Bacteria; Bacillati; Actinomycetota; Actinomycetes; Kitasatosporales; Streptomycetaceae. The record is from RNAcentral.
GGAAAGCCGGUGCAAAUCCGGCGCUGACCCGCAACCGUGAACCGGUCGCCGUAUCGCGCUCUCCAGGCCGAUGCGCGGCGGCCGGUGAGCCGGACC